GCGGAAAGUUUGUGUGCGCAUGCUCCAAGGAGCCGCGCCCCCAUCGGCUUCCCUAACGGAAAAUCCACUGCGCAUGCUCAUAAACCUGCUCUCCUAGGAGACCUGAAGGCUGCUUCCGCUAACCCGGGCUGGCGCUGCUAAGCUCACCCAACGAUCCCUGCUGUCGGAAAAUGUCCAGAGGCACCAUCCCUGCUAUGAAGAGGGAAUGCCAGUACAACAGCUACAAGGGGUCUUCCUGUGGCCCUCAAACAAAAAAUCACUGCAUUACAUCAGCAGACUGCAUUGGAGAGAAAGGCGCCGUUACAGAAAAGCCUGAGAUAAAUCACCUGUCAUUCUUGGAGAAAAGGAUGCUCCGGCUUUCCCGAUUUGGUUGAUGAGAUGGAAAAUCAACCCUUACAGGAAGGACAUCACCAAUUCCGGAAAGGAUGCUGCGCCAGUCACGUUUCCGCACUUUGUGAGACGUUGAAAUCUCCAGAAGUUGCCCAAGGUUUUCAAGCUGAACACGGGAGAAAUGACUCUGGAUCUCUGAGGACUGUUUUCCUCAAUAAGGAGCUGCAAUCUUGGCUCCACCACCCUCCCUCCAAAACAUCUCGUGUGUCUGGUAUCUGGUUAUAUUGUGGCCUGACAGAGAAGUUUCUUUCGGGGCCAGUGAAUUUAAAAAAAAAAAAAAAGAAAAGCAGGUCCUACCAACUCAUUAAUACUUUAAUACUUUAAAUUUCCCCCUUUAUAGUACGUUGAAAUGUCAGUAUCUCUUAAGAACAAUGGCUGAACCAAAUGUUUCCUCAAAACUCACAUUUUUUCCCACCAUUUCAGAAGCUGCCUCAGGACUAAGCUUUGAUUUUUUUUUUUUUAAUCUGGCCCAAAUUCCUAUCUAAGGGGCCUGGGGAGUCAUGCCCUACAAACCAUAAAUUCUCAUCAGAUGAGUUUUAUUUAACCCUAUAUAUGGUGACUUGCUUUCCAGUCUGACUCUGGCAUGACAUGUGACAAAGAAGAAAGUCAAAAUAUUUUACCCCAAAACAUGUUUCUUUGCCAUAUUUUGAAAUGGUCCUGCAAAGCUGUGCUUUGUGGGGGAAAAUAUGCAUCUGUAAAGAAUCUCUAUUAACACAGCUAGAUCUUUUUCUUCCAGGCCCUCCCAAUCCUGAAGAGAUUGAGAGUCUAGCAUUGUUUUAAAGGUCUGAAUAGGAAACAUUUGUCAUCUAUCAUCUCUAAGGGUAGCCAUUAUAAGACUUCAAAAGAACCUUUUGAAGUAUUAUAAUCAUCUUUUAUCUUAACCUGAACAUGUGCUUCCUGUUGAUCCCAGGUCUUCAGACAAUUGUGAACUCAACCAUUUGUCAAUUAGAAAAUGUUUAAAUUGGCUGGGCACAGUGUCUCAUGCCUCUAAUCCCAGCACUUUGGAAGGCCAAGGCGGGCAGAUUGCCUGACCUCAGGAGUUCGAGACCAGCCUGGGCAACAUGGUGAAACCCCAUCUCUACUAAAAGACAAAAAAUUAGCCGGGCGUAGUGGCAUGCACCUGUAGUCCCAGCUACUUGGGAAGCUGAGGAAGGAGAAUUGCUUGAACCCGGCGGGCGGAGGUUGCAGUAAGCAGAGAUCGUGCCACUGCACUCCAGCUUGGGCAACAAAGUGAGACUCCGUCACAGAAAAAAAAAAAAAAGAAAAUGUUUACAUUUACCUAUAGCCUGGAAGUCCCUGCUUUGAGUUGCUCCAUCUUUCUGAACCAAACCAAUGUUAUUUCUUAAACAUAUUUCAUUGAUGUCUCAUGCCUCCCUAAAAUGUAUAAAACCAAGCUGUGCCCCGACCACCUUGGGCACAUGUUCUCAGGACCUCCUGAGGGCUGUGUCACGGGUCAUAAUCACUCAUAUUUGGCUCAGAAUCUCUUCAAACAUUUUACAGAGUUGACACUUAGUCAACAUGCCCAUACCUGAUGAGAUGCUUCAUCAAAAUUCUAGUGGACUGGCUAGUUCAGAAAAUGGACCAGCCAGGUUUGCUUAAAUGCACCCCUGCACAACUAUCUCACUCCUGCUUGGAGCUGGCUAGAUCAGGAGACCUGUCCCUAAACUAAUGUACUCCAUGUCUUUUUGUUUUUGUUUUUGAGAGAGUCUCAGUCUGUCACCCAGGCUGGAGUGCAGUGGUGUGAUCUUGGCUCGCUGCAACCUUCGCCUCCCAGGUUCAAGAGAUUCUCCUGUCUCAGCCUCCCAAGUAGCUGGGACAACAGGUGUGCACCACCACGCCCUGCUAAUUUUUGUAUUUUAAGUAGAGAUGGGGUCUCACCCUGUGGGCCAGGCUGGUCUCAAACUCCUGACCUCAGGUGAUCCACCCACCUUGGCCUCCCAAAGUGCUGGAAUUACAGGCGUGAGCCACCGCACGCAGCCCAUGUGUCUUGGUCUUUUUUACUAAUAUUGAUUAUAAAAUGGAUGAAACUUUGGAUAAAAUUUCUGCAUUAGAAUUUCUUUUUAUAUCUGUCCUAAAGCUUGUAACUACUUGCUCAUGAUUUUUUGUGUAUGUUUAGCAAUGUGCAUGUCAUUGAUGGCCUUUGUAAAGAAUGUUCAAUUGAGUUGUAGAGACAGAGGUGCAAUUGGAGUAGGUUGUAAGAAUAAAAAGGAGUAGGCAAAAAGGCACGGGUAUACCAGUGGCCUUCAAAGGGUACUCAGACUUUGUUCUUAAGGGAUCAAUUCCCAGAUCUUCAGUUUCAUAUAAACUCUUUCCUAAAAUUGA
Molecule: long non-coding RNA, 2712 nt
Organism: Gorilla gorilla gorilla (western lowland gorilla)
Lineage: Eukaryota; Metazoa; Chordata; Mammalia; Primates; Hominidae
Exons: 2
Source: RefSeq, a predicted model, not a curated record